Molecule: non-coding RNA, 781 nt
Filed under: Epeorus sp. XL-2019
Lineage: Eukaryota; Metazoa; Arthropoda; Insecta; Ephemeroptera; Heptageniidae
Source: RNAcentral
CAAAAGUUUUAUUCUAGCUAAAGAAUUUCCUGAUCGGUUGCUUCACAUGUAAGAACUUUCAUGAAGAACCCCAUAAUCUAAAAGGUUAUGUCAUGGCAAUAGUCGCAGUGUUUUAUAUUGGUACUCAGGGUACCCUGGAAUCAGCAAUCCGUGCAGCUCCGGCAAAAUUCGUGCCAGCCGCCGCGGUUACCCGAAAGGAGCAAGGAAAUUUUAUUGGUUUGUAAUUAAUGAUAUUUGGUGACUAGAAGAAUGGUCUUGUUGGGUGAAAUUUUAAGACUUGGGUUAGCCACAUUUAGGUUAAAUGAAGUUGCGAAAUUUAGUAGAUAAACUAGGAUUAGAUACCCUAUUAUUCUAAACGUUAAAUUUAAGCCUGAGUAGUAGGAGUUAUGGUCUUGAAACUCAAAGAAUUUGGCGGUGUUUUAGUCCGUUCAGAGGAAUCUGUCCCGUAAUCGAUAAUCCACGAUUACUUAACUUAGGUUGGUUCUCAGCUUGUAUACCGCCGUCAAAAGAGUGAUUCUGGAGAACCCCCUCUAAUCCCUUUAUUAAGGGUUAUGUCAGGUCAAGGUGCAGCUUAUGCUUAAGGGGAGAUGGAUUACAAUAAGGGUACUUAUACGGAAAGCUUAAUGAAAAAGAGCCGGAAGGUGGAUUUGAAUGUAAUCGGGCAAAGGUUCACCCUAUGAAAUUGGCUCUAAAACAAGCACACAUCGCCCGUCGCUCUCGUUUAUUAAGGCGAGAUAAGUCGUAACAAAGUAGGCAUACCGGAAGGUGUUUCUAGAAAGUC